GACGAACGCUGGCGGUGUGCUUAACACAUGCAAGUGGUGCGACGAACCAGAGCUUGCUCUGGGGCAAAGCCGCGAACGGGUGAGUAACACGUGGGUAAUCUACCCCGAUGACCGGGACAACCCGAGGAAACUCGGGCUAAUACCGGAUGUGGUGCGGAGACAUAAGUCUCUUCACUAAAGGUAGCUUCGGCUUCCGCAUUGGGAGGGGCCCGCGGCCCAUUAGCUUGUUGGUGGGGUCAAGGCCUACCAAGGCAACGAUGGGUAGCUGGUCUGAGAGGACGAUCAGCCACACUGGGACUGAGACACGGCCCAGACGCCUACGGGAGGCAGCAGUGGGGAAUCUUGCGCAAUGCGCGAAAGCGUGACGCAGCAACACCGCGUGAGGGAAGAAGGCCUUAGGGUUGUAAACCUCUUUCAGAUGGGACGAAGGUUCUCCGGUGAAUAGCCGAGAGGAUUGACGGUACCGUCAGAAGAAGCUCCGGCUAACUACGUG
RNAcentral lists this ribosomal RNA (493 nucleotides) under uncultured bacterium. RNAcentral's name for it is "partial 16S ribosomal RNA". It matches the Rfam family "Bacterial small subunit ribosomal RNA", at positions 28 to 507 of the family's 1533-position model. The record is from RNAcentral.